AUUUUUUAAUAGAAUAUGGUUUUUACAGGAACUACCCAAAACAUGGAAACAUGCAAUUAUUAUCCCACAUAUAAAACCUGGUAAACCCCACUCCGACCCUUUGUCAUAUAGACCAAUCUCCUUGAUUUCAAAUUUCAAUAAAAUUAUGGAGAAAAUAGUUAAUAAUCGCUUAAAAUGGUAUUUAGAAAAAAAUAAGUUGUAUGCACCCACC
RNAcentral lists this long non-coding RNA (211 nucleotides) under Mytilus galloprovincialis (Mediterranean mussel). The record is from RNAcentral. Lineage: Eukaryota; Metazoa; Mollusca; Bivalvia; Mytilida; Mytilidae.